CUUAACACAUGCAAGUCGACGGGAUAUUGAACGAAGCUUCGGCCGGAAGAUCGGAUAUUCUAGUGSCGACGGGUGAGUAACGCGUGAGCAAUCUGUCCCGGACAGGGGAAUAACACUUGGAAACAGGUGCUAAUACCGCAUGAGACCACGAAGUCGCAUGGCUUUGGGGUAAAAGGAGGAAUCCGGUUCGGGGUGAGCUCGCGUCCGAUUAGCCCAGUUGGCGGGGUAACGGCCCCACCCAAAGCGACGAUCGGUAGCCGACCUGAGAGGGGUGAUCGGCCCACAUUGGAACUGAGAGACGGUCCCAAAACUCCYUACGGGAGGCAGCAGUGGGGAAUAUGGGGCAAUGGGGCGAAAGCCUGACCCCAGCAACGCCGCGUGAGUGAAGAAGGCCUUCGGGUUGUAAAGCUCUGUUAUAGGGGACGAAGGGAGUGACGGUACCCUAUAAGGAAGCCCCGGCUAACUACGUGCCAGCAGCCGCGGUAAUACGUAGGGGGCGAGCGUUGUCCGGAAUGACUGGGCGUAAAGGGCGUGUAGGCGGUCGUUUAAGUCUGGAGUGAAAGUCCUGCUUUCAAGGUGGGAAGGGCUUUGGAUACUGGACGACUUGAGUGCGGAAGAGGUAAGUGGAAUUCCCAGUGUAGCGGUGAAWUGCGUAGAGAUUGGGAGGAACACCAGUGGCGAAGGCGACUUACUGGGCCGUAACUGACGCUGAGGCGCGAAAGCGUGGGGAGCGAACAGGAUUAGAUACCCUGGUAGUCCUAGCCGUAAACGAUGGUACUAGGUGUGGGUGGUUUCGAUACCAUCCGUGCCGUAGUAACGCAUUAAGACCCCGCCGGG
Molecule: ribosomal RNA, 837 nt
Filed under: uncultured Bacillota bacterium
Lineage: Bacteria; Bacillati; Bacillota
Description: bacterial SSU rRNA
Rfam family: Bacterial small subunit ribosomal RNA
Source: RNAcentral